GGAGGAAACAUUUACCGUGGAUAUUUCAGCAUUAACAUUUAUCAACAACCUCUGACAUCACUUCUCAAACCAGUAAAACGACGUAGGAUUAUCGAAUCGGACAGUGAUAGUCAGUCUCAAUGAAGCUGUUGAUACUUCAAAUUUCUGUGUAAAUAUGAAUAUUUCAAAAGUUAUUUGUUACAGCUCUGAUAUUUCUGACCUACAUUUUGAUAGAAGUGCAAAAGAACAGCUGAUGAAAUGACGGACGAUGCGGUUGUUUCUUUUAACGAAUGAAAGAACAGUAUUUUAGUUAUAUGAUAUAAAUAAUCUUACACUUGUUUCUAUGUCAUUAGAUAUUUAUGAAACUCGUCACGAAUUUUAAAAGUCUCAUAUGACAUGGAAACUCAUGUAUGAUCCUAUAUUUCUAUGCACAUUCAAAUGUUAAUCUUACCGCAAAUUAAACAGCAGAAAGUUAAAUAACGCAUACACAUACCUUCACCUUCAAAUUUUACAGAUAUGUUCAUUACUAUAGAGGUUUGACCGUAGGAGUUCAAUUGACCGAAACAUAAACCAUUGUUUUAUUUAAUCAUUCAAAUAUUUCAACUCAUCUCUUUCUCACUUGAUGAAUUUGACUCACUGUAAGACAAUAACAGGUUUGAAUUCCAGGUAUGGUUGUAUGAGGAAUAUAUAUAUAUGGUGGCGUCAUCACUGGCUUGUGAUGCCUUAUGGCGGUUUUAAUUGGCCGCACCUUUACAGAAAGGUAUUUCAUUUCGAAUAUAAAAGUCAAAGGAAAAAAAAUUAGGAAAGAGAAAUCAUU
This is a long non-coding RNA of Mizuhopecten yessoensis (Yesso scallop), 796 nucleotides long. RefSeq lists it as uncharacterized. The transcript has 2 exons. Lineage: Eukaryota; Metazoa; Mollusca; Bivalvia; Pectinida; Pectinidae. The record is from RefSeq and is a predicted model, not a curated record.